Molecule: ribosomal RNA, 482 nt
Filed under: uncultured bacterium
Lineage: Bacteria
Description: bacterial SSU rRNA
Rfam family: Bacterial small subunit ribosomal RNA
Source: RNAcentral
AUUGAACGCUGGCGGAAUGCUUUACACAUGCAAGUCGAACGGCAGCACGGGGCAACCUGGUGGCGAGUGGCGAACGGGUGAGUAAUACAUCGGAACGUGCCCAAUCGUGGGGGAUAACGUAGCGAAAGUUACGCUAAUACCGCAUACGAUCUACGGAUGAAAGCGGGGGAUCGCAAGACCUCGCGCGAAUGGAGCGGCCGAUGUCAGAUUAGGUAGUUGGUGGGGUAAAGGCUCACCAAGCCAACGAUCUGUAGCUGGUCUGAGAGGACGACCAGCCACACUGGAACUGAGACACGGUCCAGACUCCUACGGGAGGCAGCAGUGGGGAAUUUUGGACAAUGGGGGCAACCCUGAUCCAGCCAUUCCGCGUGAGUGAAGAAGGCCUUCGGGUUGUAAAGCUCUUUUGUCGGGGACGAAACGGUUUCACCUAAUACGUGAGACUACUGACGGUACCCGAAGAAUAAGCACCGGCUAACUACGUG